UAGCAGACUAGGGAAACAACUGU
This 23-nucleotide non-coding RNA is filed under the name Cricetulus griseus (Chinese hamster). Lineage: Eukaryota; Metazoa; Chordata; Mammalia; Rodentia; Cricetidae. The record is from RNAcentral.